Trichobilharzia regenti is the source of this 46-nucleotide non-coding RNA. Lineage: Eukaryota; Metazoa; Platyhelminthes; Trematoda; Strigeidida; Schistosomatidae. The record is from Rfam.
ACCCAGACUGACGAGUCCCAAAUAGGACGAAAUGCGCAUCCUGGAU